This 87-nucleotide transfer RNA is filed under the name Planctomycetota bacterium. Its description in RNAcentral is "Planctomycetes bacterium (soil metagenome) tRNA-Ser". It matches the Rfam family "tRNA". From Rfam's summary of the family: Transfer RNA (tRNA) molecules are approximately 80 nucleotides in length. Their secondary structure includes four short double-helical elements and three loops (D, anti-codon, and T loops). Lineage: Bacteria; Pseudomonadati; Planctomycetota. The record is from RNAcentral. RNAcentral also lists the same sequence under 1 other name.
GGACCUGUGGCAGAGCGGUUGAAUGCACCGGUUUUGAAAACCGGCAGGGGCGCAAGUCUCUCGUGGGUUCGAAUCCCACCGGGUCCG